UACAGAGGUGGCAAGCGUUGUUCGGAAUUACUGGGCGUAAAGGGCGCGUAGGCGGCCUUCUAAGUCAGACGUGAAAUCCCCAGGCUUAACUUGGGAACUGCGUCUGAUACUGGGAGGCUUGAGUGCGGGAGAGGGAUGUGGAAUUCCAGGUGUAGCGGUGAAAUGCGUAGAUAUCACUUGGAACGCCAAUGGUGAAGACAGCUCGCUGGGGGUGUCCUGACGCUGAGGCGCGAAAGCCAGGGGGAGCGAACGGG
RNAcentral lists this ribosomal RNA (254 nucleotides) under uncultured bacterium. Its description in RNAcentral is "partial 16S ribosomal RNA". It matches the Rfam family "Bacterial small subunit ribosomal RNA", at positions 524 to 776 of the family's 1533-position model. The record is from RNAcentral.